UACGGGGGGGGCAAGCGUUGUUCGGAAUUACUGGGCGUAAAGCGCGUGUAGGCGGCAAGGCAAGUCGGGUGUGAAAGCCCUGGGCUCAACCCGGGAAGUGCAUUCGAUACUGCUAAGCUAGAGUCCCGGAGAGGAUGGUGGAACUCUCGGUGUAGAGGUGAAAUUCGUAGAUAUCGAGAAGAACACCGGUGGCGAAGGCGGCCAGCUGGACGGUGACUGACGCUGAGACGCGAAAGCGUGGGGAGCAAACAGG
Molecule: ribosomal RNA, 253 nt
Filed under: uncultured bacterium
Lineage: Bacteria
Description: partial 16S ribosomal RNA
Rfam family: Bacterial small subunit ribosomal RNA
Source: RNAcentral